UACGGAGGAUGCAAGCGUUAUCCGGAAUGAUUGGGCGUAAAGGGUCCGCAGGUGGCCAUGUAAGUCUGCUGUCAAAGAAUGAGGCUCAACCUCAUCAAGGCAGUGGAAACUACGUAGCUAGAGUACGGUCGGGGUAGAAGGAAUUCCUGGUGUAGCGGUGAAAUGCGUAGAGAUCAGGAAGAACACCGGUGGCGAAGGCGCUCUGCUAGGCCGUAACUGACACUGAGGGACGAAAGCUAGGGGAGCGAAUGGG
This 253-nucleotide ribosomal RNA is filed under the name uncultured bacterium. RNAcentral describes it as "partial 16S ribosomal RNA". It matches the Rfam family "Bacterial small subunit ribosomal RNA", at positions 524 to 776 of the family's 1533-position model. The record is from RNAcentral.